Molecule: long non-coding RNA, 836 nt
Organism: Phyllopteryx taeniolatus (common seadragon)
Lineage: Eukaryota; Metazoa; Chordata; Actinopteri; Syngnathiformes; Syngnathidae
Exons: 3
Source: RefSeq, a predicted model, not a curated record
GCAAGCUCUCGUCAGCCUCUUCCGCCCUGCUGCUUGUCUUCGCUCCUCUUCCUCACCUUUUGUUUGGUUUGCUUUCAUGUUCCUAUCUGAAACCUCAGUCUGUCUAUUUUGUGCCUGCCUCAAUGCUUCAUGUUUGAUUUCAGCUGCCUUGUGCCUCUCUUGCAAACAGUUUCUUUCGGUGUCAGCUUUCCUCCUUCGCUCAAGUGUGAAGUAACAAUGCCAUUGAAAAGUCUGCUUGCUGUACCUGUCAGUCUCUUUCUUCUCUGUCCUCUGUCACUCUGUAAAUCAUGUGGCAUAACAGCCUCUGGUGACAAGUUUGGUUUUGAGCCAAUGUAACCUAUAUGUUUGUGUGUGUGUGUGUGUGUAGGUGUGUGUGUGGUGUGCGUGUGUGUGUGUGCGCGCGCGUGUGUUUGAAAGCAGUGCUGAGAGACAAGUUGGCGCAUUCCAGCGUGGAAUUUCAGAAGAUGAGAGAAGAGAAGCAGCAUCUAACUAAGCAGCUGACGGAGCAGACACAACAGAAAGAGCAGCUGCACCAGAAAGACGAGUCCGAGAGGGAGUACAAAGAAAAGCUGAUCAGUUGACUGCGGCCCUGGAACAGAAGAUUGCCGAGAAUACACUGCGGCUGCAGGAGGAGAGAGAGGAGCUUCACAAAGAGGCAGAACUAGAGCUGACAAUCCACAGGGAGAAGAACCAGCUGUUGCUCCAACAGUACAAGCAAGACAGCACACCACUUAAGCACGAGAUGAAAAUCAAUAUCUCAUAUUCUUGUAAAUGGAAUUAUAAGAACCUAUUAUUGUCCAUUUUCUCAUUGUAAUACUGUAUCUACUUACAGCUUU